Molecule: ribosomal RNA, 826 nt
Filed under: uncultured Pseudomonadota bacterium
Lineage: Bacteria; Pseudomonadati; Pseudomonadota
Description: bacterial SSU rRNA
Rfam family: Bacterial small subunit ribosomal RNA
Source: RNAcentral
CAAGUCGAACGUGAAAAGGGGCAACCCUGAGUAAAGUGGCGCACGGGUGAGUAACACGUAGGUAAUCUACCCUAGAAUCCGGAAUAACCUGCCGAAAGGCGGGCUAAUACCAGAUAGAGCGAGGAAUCCGUAAUUGGGUUUUUCGGGAAAGGGAGCUCGCAAGAGCCUUCGUUCUAGGAUGAGCCUGCGUCCCAUUAGCUAGUUGGCGGGGUAAUGGCCCACCAAGGCUUUGAUGGGUAGCUGGUCUGAGAGGAUGAUCAGCCACACUGGAACUGAAACACGGUCCAGACUCCUACGGGAGGCAGCAGUGGGGAAUCUUGCGCAAUGGACGAAAGUCUGACGCAGCCACGCCGCGUGAGUGAAGAAGGCCUUCGGGUUGUAAAGCUCUGUCGGGCGGGACGAAAAAUUUUUGGGUUAACAGCCCAAGAACUUGACGGUACCGCCAAAGGAAGCACCGGCUAACUCUGUGCCAGCAGCCGCGGUAAUACAGAGGGUGCAAGCGUUGCUCGGAAUCAUUGGGCGUAAAGGGCAAGUAGGUGGUCUCGUUUGUCUGAGGUGAAAUCCCUGGGCUUAACCUAGGAACUGCCUCAGAAACGGCGAGACUGGAGUACUGGAGAGGGUCGCGGAAUUCCCGGUGUAGCGGUGAAAUGCGUAGAGAUCGGGAGGAAUACCAGAGGCGAAAGCGGCGGCCUGGACAGUUACUGACACUCAACUGCGAAAGCGUGGGGAGCAAACAGGAUUAGAUACCCUGGUAGUCCACGCUGUAAACGAUGGGUACUAGGUCAGGUGGGUAUUGACCCCUGCCGGACCGGAGCUAACGCGAUAA